AUUCCGGCCCGGUUUCAUUCCCCACCUCCCACCCUCCGGAUCCAAUCCGGAUCGACGCGCCGGCGCGCUCGUGGGCGAUGGCGCACGGAGAGGGGCAGGCGACGGCGUGCGAGGCGACGGUGCAGCGGCACGGUGGGGCACUGACGGCUCGGUUCCGAGGUGCCACCAGAUCUCGCCGCAGCGUCGUCGUCCAUGUCGCUGUGGCCGACGACGACAUGCUGCCCGACGCCGCGGCCCUCUCCUUCGCGUUCGCCGCCUGGAAGUAGCAGCAGCCCCGGCGGCGGCCGGCCCCUCCGUCGGCUUCUUUCCUGGUUGCACCACCUCGACCUCGGACGCGGGAAGUGGGCGACCACGAUGGUCUAUUGAGUUUUGACCCGAGAAAGCAAAUUCUGUUUUCCGAUGUGAACUAGCACAUCCUUGUCUGGAUAGCCCUGAUGUCAGGAUCCUCAGAUCCGAGAACGCAAAAAGGGAAAUCGAUGGAACAAAAGAACAGAACAGCAAAUUCACGAGGGCAAGUACUCGAUUGAUAGAAUUCAGAGCUGAGCCUCUACGGAGGUCAAGCUGAAGUUCCUCAGAUACAGAUACGCCGCCAGGGAGACGGGCAAAUGACUACAGCUACGCUAAGUUCUAUCUAAGGGUUACGAGUACUUUUCCCAACAUGUCCAGGGUCGAAGCCGAUCUGUGCCUAAAUACAUGUGGCGAGAUCAUUAAGCUAAACAAGAAUUACACAAGGAGAACAGUGUUUAACAUUCAGGCGAGGUGCAGUCCUUGGAUGAACAUCAGACAGUCGUCGUCGAAGCCGCGCAAAGGGGUAUGCAGCAUGCCGACUUCUUAUCUGACGAAACUGAAUGGUAAACAUGCCUGACACCUGAUUUCCUUGGGUACUCAAUCUGAAUGCAAUCUGAGUUAUCCGGUUGUUCACCUUGAUGGAUUGGCCUAUCUUGGAUGCUAUCUGUGACAAAGACAAAACUUAUAUACAAUAUACUAGUGGAAGUGACAUUCUUUAUCAAGUUUCAGGUCUAGAACACUCACAUUUCCAUGGAGUUGAAGGGCUUUGACGGAUCACCUACUGCAAGUAACUUCUACAAGUUUGGAUUAAGAAGACUCUCCUAGAUGCUACUAUAUGUUACCAGAUGCUGAGUUAUGCCAUGUGAUCUAUGAAAUGUUGACAUGAGUUUGGAAUUAGCAUCACCGUUUCUGCAGUUUGGAUUAACAAAUUAGUCAUGCUUUGGGUCCAAUGGGGAAGUCGUAUUUUCCUCAUGAAUAUUUGCUAGUUAGUGAUAACAUGAAAACCAUAUAGGAAUUGAUCUCAAAAGCUAGAGAGGAGGUAUGUUAAAUUA
Molecule: RNA transcript, 1340 nt
Organism: Panicum virgatum (switchgrass)
Lineage: Eukaryota; Viridiplantae; Streptophyta; Magnoliopsida; Poales; Poaceae
Exons: 5
Source: RefSeq, a predicted model, not a curated record